Molecule: long non-coding RNA, 1052 nt
Organism: Ictalurus punctatus (channel catfish)
Lineage: Eukaryota; Metazoa; Chordata; Actinopteri; Siluriformes; Ictaluridae
Source: Ensembl
UUUUCUUUUACUGUACGCGUAUAUAAUGCGGGGCGCGACAUGAAUCGGAACCAGGACGCUCGGGGAGUCGUUCUGACCGGCUACAUCAGCAACAGCGAGGCGUUCGCUCCGGUGUGUGCGGCUGCUGCGAGCCCCGGGGACGAGCCUGAAGCUCCGGGACCGAGACUAUGCGGAUCGUCCGCUGUGAACGAGCCGUUACUAUAGAAACGAGAACGUAUCGGAACGAGCGCGUGAAUAUAAUAUAAACCGGCGCUACUGUCAGAGCUGCUGUUCUGGAAAAUGAAAUCAAGACCUUUCUGACCAAUCAGGACACAGAUGGUAGUAAGACAUCGUGCAUGGGUUGGAGUUUUAAUGAAUUCAUUUCUUUAAUCAUGGAGAUGUCGAAAUGUCUUCUGAUGGAGGUCCGUCAUGACUCUGAAGCCUUAAAGAAUCCCAACGAGACACGAAGGAGGAAUAACCGCCGGUGACGCUGUCACGAUGUAAGGCCCGUGAGGUCGGUAUGAGUGCUAAUAUGUUGACGAGUUGCACGCCACAGUGCCGGAGUUAUUUAUACACGCACGGUUGUUUUUCAUCAGUGACGGGACACAAUGCGGCCUUUCUCCUCUCGGAGAGCGGGGGCGAAACACUAGCGCGGAUUGCCUGAGGCCUUUUGAAAUCGGAUGCUCUUGUUAUUGUGCGUCUUCCUCCUGGAGCAGCAGCUGCCCGAGCGACCUGAUGUACCGUACGCCGCCGGGCGGAGCAUGACGUCGUCCGGGGGCCGGUUUAGAGGGAAGCCCAGCUGAGGUCCUGUUUGUUCAGACACUGUUUGGAGAUCUCCCAGGUCAUGAGCUGACGAGCUGAAGCAGGUGCUAGCGCAGUCCCAGACAGAGAUACAGACAAAUAUACCGUACAGACAUACAGACAAACCAACGGAGAGACCAGUUUCAGAUUGUAUUAAUAACCAUUUUGGACGUCAAAUAUCACAGUUAAAUCAUUUUUAAAAAGGUAUAAAAGGAACUAAACAGUCGCUCUGUGCCUCUACUUGACUUCCGUCCUGCUCCCGAGGGUUUGGU